RNAcentral lists this long non-coding RNA (791 nucleotides) under Setaria viridis. RNAcentral's name for it is "long non-coding RNA (SVIR_LNC005901)". Lineage: Eukaryota; Viridiplantae; Streptophyta; Magnoliopsida; Poales; Poaceae. The record is from RNAcentral.
GAAGAUAAAUUAGCAACAAAAAUAACACUUACCAACAAUUCCCAACUAAAAGAACUAGCAAAUAGCUCUUAGAAAAUGUCUAAAAACCGUUGGCUACUUGAGAACAUUAUACAGAAAGCCAGCAACCAUCAUCCAUUUGUAAAAAAAGAACACUCAGGAAAUGUUAUGGAACUCUUGUACUGUACAUUUUUUUCAGCCAAUUUUUUAGCGUGUAGGUAUAUUUUUAGAGAAUGGAAACAUGUUCAUCCUUUGCACAGCCUUUAGAGCACACAGUUGGGUUCAUUAUUGGAGCACAUUAGCUCUAAGCUAAGAUUAUGAUAAAACCAAAUAAAAUAUGAACCAUAAGCAUUUUAAAGAAAAGCAUAUCAUUUGGCAAUAAUUCUAUUGAUAAUCAAACUCCACCCAUUGUUGGGGACGAGGUCCUUAACAUCCACCUCUAAUGCAUAGCAUGCGCUCAUGUCCUCCCUUAACACCAUAUCUUUUAAUACAAUAAUCUCCAGUAUCUCAACCAGUAAGAACCUCUGAAAAUUAAAAAUAUUUAAUAUUUUAAAAUCAAAACAAUAUUACAGCGACAUAGCUAUACAUAUCCCAACAUAAAACAUAUACCCCUCCCAAGCCAACCCCCAUCCAUGAGAAAUGUUUUUAGGUUUUCUUUAGGAAUCAUGGCUGUUCUCAAAACUGAUGUAACAAAUUGAUAGUAAAAAAGAGAUGUUGAAUAGUUUUACUGCAAAAGGUACACCAUUUUGUUCCCAUUCAAUUAUCGUUUCACUAGGUUGUCUUUGUUCAACAUA